CCUACGGGAGGCAGCAGUGGGGAAUAUUGCACAAUGGGCGCAAGCCUGAUGCAGCAACGCCGCGUGAGGGACGAAGGCCUUCGGGUUGUAAACCUCUUUUAGUAGGGAAGAAGCGACUGGGUUUUCCUGGGAGUGACGGUACCUGCAGAAAAAGCACCGGCUAACUACGUGCCAGCAGCCGCGGUAAUACGUAGGGUGCAAGCGUUGUCCGGAAUUAUUGGGCGUAAAGAGCUCGUAGGCGGUUUGUCGCGUCUGCUGUGAAAACCCGAGGCUCAACCUCGGGCCUGCAGUGGGGACGGGCAGACUAGAGUGCGGUAGGGGAGAUUGGAAUUCCUGGUGUAGCGGUGGAAUGCGCAGAUAUCAGGAGGAACACCAAUGGCGAAGGCAGAUCUCUGGGCCGUAACUGACGCUGAGGAGCGAAAGCAUGGGGAGCGAACAGGAUUAGAUACCCUGGUAGUCCAUGCCGUAAACGUUGGGAACUAGAUGUGGGGACCAUUCCACGGUCUCCGUGUCGCAGCUAACGCAUUAAGUUCCCCGCCUGGGGAGUACGGCCGCAAGGCUAAAACUCAAAGGAAUUGACGGGGGCCCGCACAAGCGGCGGAGCAUGCGGAUUAAUUCGAUGCAACGCGAAGAACCUUACCAAGGCUUGACAUAUACCGGAAACGGCUGGAAACAGUCGCCCCGCAAGGUCGGUAUACAGGUGGUGCAUGGUUGUCGUCAGCUCGUGUCGUGAGAUGUUGGGUUAAGUCCCGCAACGAGCGCAACCCUCGUCCUAUGUUGCCAGCACGUAAUGGUGGGAACUCAUGGGAUACUGCCGGGGUCAACUCGGAGGAAGGUGGGGAUGACGUCAAAUCAUCAUGCCCCUUAUGUCUUGGGCUUCACGCAUGCUACAAUGGCCGGUACAAAGGGCUGCGAUACCGCAAGGUGGAGCGAAUCCCAAAAAGCCGGUCUCAGUUCGGAUUGAGGUCUGCAACUCGACCUCAUGAAGUCGGAGUCGCUAGUAAUCGCAGAUCAGCAACGCUGCGGUGAAUACGUUCCCGGGCCUUGUACACACCGCC
Molecule: ribosomal RNA, 1058 nt
Filed under: uncultured Cryobacterium sp.
Lineage: Bacteria; Bacillati; Actinomycetota; Actinomycetes; Micrococcales; Microbacteriaceae
Description: bacterial SSU rRNA
Rfam family: Bacterial small subunit ribosomal RNA
Source: RNAcentral